AGGAAAGCAGGGGAUCGCAAGACCUUGCGCUUUUGGAGCGGCCGAUGUCUGAUUAGCUAGUUGGUGAGGUAAAGGCUUACCAAGGCUCCGAUCAGUAGCUGGUCUGAGAGGACGACCAGCCACACUGGGACUGAGACACGGCCCAGACUCCUACGGGAGGCAGCAGUGGGGAAUUUUGGACAAUGGGGCAACCCUGAUCCAGCCAUGCCGCGUGAGUGAAGAAGGCCUUCGGGUUGUAAAGCUCUUUCAGCCGGAACGAAAAGGUUACGGUUAAUACCCGUGACCAAUGACGGUACCGGAAGAAGAAGCACCGGCUAACUACGUGCCAGCAGCCGCGGUAAUACGUAGGGUGCGAGCGUUAAUCGGAAUUACUGGGCGUAAAGCGUGCGCAGGCGGUUUUGUAAGUCAGAUGUGAAAUCCCCGGGCUUAACCUGGGAACUGCGUUUGAAACUACAAAGCU
Molecule: ribosomal RNA, 460 nt
Filed under: uncultured beta proteobacterium
Lineage: Bacteria; Pseudomonadati; Pseudomonadota; Betaproteobacteria
Description: bacterial SSU rRNA
Rfam family: Bacterial small subunit ribosomal RNA
Source: RNAcentral